AGUCAUAACAAGGUUUCAUACCGUGACAGAUCCUUCUGCACACUUCGGAGACCAUGCAACCCUCUUGGGAGGUAGCGCGACUAUAAACACGCUGCCGCUUGCAAGUUGGUACGUCAGCAACACGAUCGAAUUGCGGGGACCUCCUAAAGCUCUCACCACCAUACCACCACCGAAAGGUGAUGGCGACCGGUAAAAGUGUGAGAGAUGUACAAUGGACGAUCCGCAGCGAAGACCCUAAGGCUCCGGCUACGGGUAGCGUUCACAGACUAGGUGAUUGUGGGCAGCACUGCUGUCUAAGAUAUAGUCGGGCCCGCAGCGAAAGUUGCGGUGAAUUAGCGUCCGUAGGUGAACCCGCGGAAGGAUCAUUACAGAGUUCAUGCCCUUACGGGUAGAUCUCCCACCCUUGAAUAUUAUACCUUUGUUGCUUUGGCGGGCCCGCUCACGCCACCGGCUUCGGCUGGUGAGUGCCCGCCAGAGGACCCCAAAUUCUGAAUUACAGUGUCGUCUGAGUACUAUAUAAUAGUUAAAACUUUCAACAACGGAUCUCUUGGUUCUGGCAUCGAUGAAGAACGCAGCGAAAUGCGAUAAGUAAUGUGAAUUGCAGAAUUCAGUGAAUCAUCGAAUCUUUGAACGCACAUUGCGCCCCUUGGUAUUCCGGGGGGCAUGCCUGUUCGAGCGUCAUUAUAACCCUCAAGCCUAGCUUGGUAUUGGGGCCUGCCCCCGGGCAGCCCUUAAAAUCAGUGGCGGUGCCGUCUGGCUCUAAGCGUAGUAAUUUCUCUCGCUAUAGCGUCCGGCGGUUGCUGNCCAAAACCCCCAAUUUUCUAUGGUUGACCUCGGAUCAGGUAGGGAUACCCGCUGAACUUAAGCAUAUCAAUAAGCGGAGGAAAAGAAACCAACAGGGAUUACCUCAGUAACGGCGAGUGAAGCGGUAACAGCUCAAAUUUGAAAUCUGGCUCUUUUAGAGUCCGAGUUGUAAUUUGUAGAAGAUGCUUCGGGUGUGGCUCCGGUCUAAGUUCCUUGGAACAGGACGUCAUAGAGGGUGAGAAUCCCGUAUGUGACUGGUUGCCUUCGCCUAUGUGAAGCUCUUUCGACGAGUCGAGUUGUUUGGGAAUGCAGCUCUAAAUGGGUGGUAAAUUUCAUCUAAAGCUAAAUAUUGGCCAGAGACCGAUAGCGCACAAGUAGAGUGAUCGAAAGAUGAAAAGCACUUUGAAAAGAGAGUUAUACAGUAUGUGAAAUUGUUGAAAGGGAAGCGCUUGCAACCAGACUUGCGUGUAGCGGUUCCCCCAGUCUUUUGACCGGGCUAUUCCGUUAUAUCCAGGCCAGCAUCGGUUCGGGUGGUUGGUUAAAGGUCUUGGGAAUGUAUCUACCUCCGGGUCGACUUAUAGCCCAGGGCGUAAUGCAGCCUACCUGGACCGAGGAACGCGCUUUUGCUCGGAUGCUGGCGUAAUGGUUGUAAGCGGCC
Molecule: ribosomal RNA, 1462 nt
Filed under: uncultured fungus
Lineage: Eukaryota; Fungi
Description: eukaryotic LSU rRNA
Rfam family: Eukaryotic large subunit ribosomal RNA (bases 829-1462)
Source: RNAcentral